RNAcentral lists this ribosomal RNA (123 nucleotides) under Streptococcus thermophilus ND03. The record is from RNAcentral. Lineage: Bacteria; Bacillati; Bacillota; Bacilli; Lactobacillales; Streptococcaceae.
CUCAGAGUUAAGUGACGAUAGCCUAGGAGAUACACCUGUUCCCAUGCCGAACACAGAAGUUAAGCCCUAGUACGCCUGAUGUAGUUGGGGGUUGCCCCCUGUUAGAUACGGUAGUCGCUUAGC